GUUCUACUCCCUCCGUCCGAAAAUACUUGUCAUCAAAAUGGAUAAAAAGGGAUGUAUCUAGAACUAAAAUACAUCUAGAUACAUCCCCUUUUAUUCAUUUUGAUGACAAGUAUUUCCGGACGGAGGGAGUACAAU
This is a non-coding RNA of Triticum aestivum (bread wheat), 135 nucleotides long. The record is from Rfam. NCBI's taxonomy places the organism in Eukaryota, Viridiplantae, Streptophyta, Magnoliopsida, Poales, Poaceae.